UUGAAUUUCAAAUUCAAAUAAACAAUGAUUUAUUUUUUUAGUAUAAGUAUGUCCCAUGCAAUAUUUGGAACAUACUUAUACUAAAAAAAUAUUAUUUAUCUGAAACUCAGAUCUAACUGG
This 120-nucleotide microRNA precursor is filed under the name Dasypus novemcinctus (nine-banded armadillo). RNAcentral's name for it is "miRNA (ENSDNOG00000030282.1)". The stretch from base 35 to 86 matches the Rfam family "mir-1302 microRNA precursor family". The record is from RNAcentral. Lineage: Eukaryota; Metazoa; Chordata; Mammalia; Cingulata; Dasypodidae.